UUUGGUGUUUACACAGAUUCCAUGCAUAUACUGUAUGUAUUUUUGCUGCUGUAAGCAGGCCGGUAUGACAGCCGAGAGGCAAACGUUUAUGCAAAAAUAUGGUCCUUAAUCGUCACGUGCGUAUUGCAUUUUUGCAAAAUACACCAACACAAGUUUUUAAGUUUCUAACUUUCCUAAAACAUUGCUAUUGGUUAGUUGGGCAAAAAUACAAUACAAACAAAAACAAAG
Non-coding RNA from Paramuricea clavata, 228 nucleotides. The record is from the annotation of a GenBank genome assembly. Lineage: Eukaryota; Metazoa; Cnidaria; Anthozoa; Malacalcyonacea; Plexauridae.